GGGCGAAGCCUGAUGCAGCACGCCGCGUGGGGGAUGAAGCUUCUCGGAGUGUAAACCCCUUUCGACCCGGACGAAUGCCCGCAAGGGCUUGACGGUACGGGUAUAAGAAGCCCCGGCUAACUACGUGCCAGCAGCCGCGGUAAAACGUAGGGGGCCAGCGUUGCUCGGAAUUACUGGGCGUAAAGGGUCCGUAGGCGGUGUGGCAAGUCGGUAGUGAAAGCUCUGGGCUUAACCCAGAGACUGCUGCCGAAACUGCUGUGCUAGAGUGUGAGAGAGGCGAGUGGAAUUACGGGUGUAGCGGUGAAAUGCGUAGAUAUCCGUAGGAACAUCCGAGGCGAAAGCGGCUCGCUGGAUCACAACUGACGCUGAGGGACGAAAGCUAGGGGAGCAAACAGGAUUAGAUACCCUGGUAGUCCUAGCCCUAAACCAUCAGGACUUGGGGUUUGCCCUGUACGGGGCAAGUCCCGUAGCUAACGCGUUAAGUCCUGCGCCUGGGGAGUACGGUCGCAAGGCUGAAACUCAAAAAAAUUGACGGA
This 536-nucleotide ribosomal RNA is filed under the name uncultured bacterium. RNAcentral's name for it is "bacterial SSU rRNA". It matches the Rfam family "Bacterial small subunit ribosomal RNA", at positions 373 to 917 of the family's 1533-position model. The record is from RNAcentral.